AGCGAACAAGUACCGCGA
Molecule: small nuclear RNA, 18 nt
Filed under: Arabidopsis thaliana (thale cress)
Lineage: Eukaryota; Viridiplantae; Streptophyta; Magnoliopsida; Brassicales; Brassicaceae
Description: snRNA_08100
Source: RNAcentral